CCUACGGGUGGCAGCAGUGAGGAAUAUUGGUCAAUGGACGAGAGUCUGAACCAGCCAAGUAGCGUGAAGGAUGAAUGCCCUAUGGGUUGUAAACUUCUUUUAUAAAGGAAUAAAACGAGGCACGUGUGCCUUUUUGCAUGUACUUUAUGAAUAAGGAUCGGCUAACUCCGUGCCAGCAGCCGCGGUAAUACGGAGGAUCCGAGCGUUAUCCGGAUUUAUUGGGUUUAAAGGGAGCGUAGAUGGGGUGUUAAGUCAGUUGUGAAAGUUUGCGGCUCAACCGGAAAAUUGCAAUUGAUACUGGAAGUCUUGAGUACAGUUGAGGUAGGCGGAAUUCGUGGUGUAGCGGUGAAAUGCUUAGAUAUCACGAAGAACCCCGAUUGCGAAGGCAGCUUACUAAACUGUGACUGACACUGAUGCUCGAAAGUGUGGGUAUCAAACAGGAUUAGAUACCCUUGUAGUC
This 460-nucleotide ribosomal RNA is filed under the name uncultured bacterium. Its description in RNAcentral is "partial 16S ribosomal RNA". It matches the Rfam family "Bacterial small subunit ribosomal RNA", at positions 338 to 795 of the family's 1533-position model. The record is from RNAcentral.